GUAGGCGGUUUUUUAAGUCUGAUGUGAAAGCCCACGGCUCAACCGUGGAGGGUCAUUGGAAACUGGAAAACUUGAGUGCAGAAGAGGAAAGUGGAAUUCCAUGUGUAGCGGUGAAAUGCGCAGAGAUAUGGAGGAACACCAGUGGCGAAGGCGACUUUCUGGUCUGUAACUGACGUUGAUGUGCGAAAGCGUGGGGAUCAAACAGGAUUAGAUACCCUGGUAGUCCACGCCGUAAACGAUGAGUGUUAAGUGU
Molecule: ribosomal RNA, 253 nt
Filed under: uncultured bacterium
Lineage: Bacteria
Description: partial 16S ribosomal RNA
Rfam family: Bacterial small subunit ribosomal RNA
Source: RNAcentral